Molecule: ribosomal RNA, 460 nt
Filed under: uncultured bacterium
Lineage: Bacteria
Description: partial 16S ribosomal RNA
Rfam family: Bacterial small subunit ribosomal RNA
Source: RNAcentral
CCUACGGGUGGCAGCAGUGAGGAAUAUUGGUCAAUGGGCGCGAGCCUGAACCAGCCAAGUAGCGUGAAGGAUGAAUGCCCUACGGGUUGUAAACUUCUUUUGUCAGGGAGCAACGCCGGCUACGUGUAGCCGGACUGAGAGUACCUGAAGAAAAAGCAUCGGCUAACUCCGUGCCAGCAGCCGCGGUAAUACGGGGGAUGCGAGCGUUAUACGGAUUUAUUGGGUUUAAAGGGGGCGUAGGCGGAAUGCCAAGUCAGCGGUAAAAGCGCGGGGCUCAACCUCGCUCCGCCGUUGAAACUGGCGUUCUGGAGUGGGCGAGAAGUAUGCGGAAUGCGUGGUGUAGCGGUGAAAUGCAUAGAUAUCACGCAGAACUCCGAUUGCGAAGGCAGCAUACCGGCGCCCAACUGACGCUGAGGCACGAAAGCGUGGGGAGCGAACAGGAUUAGAUACCCUGGUAGUC